GACGAACGCUGGCGGCGUGCUUAACACAUGCAAGUCGAACGGAAAGACCCUGCUUUUGUGGGGUGCUCGAGUGGCGAACGGGUGAGUAACACGUGAGUAACCUGCCCUUGACUUUGGGAUAACUUCAGGAAACUGGGGCUAAUACCGGAUAGGAGCUCCUGCUGCAUGGUGGGGGUUGGAAAGUUUCUGCGGUUGGGGAUGGACUCGCGGCUUAUCAGCUUGUUGGUGGGGUAGUGGCUUACCAAGGCUUUGACGGGUAGCCGGCCUGAGAGGGUGACCGGCCACAUUGGGACUGAGAUACGGCCCAGACUCCUACGGGAGGCAGCAGUGGGGAAUAUUGCACAAUGGGCGGAAGCCUGAUGCAGCAACGCCGCGUGCGGGAUGACGGCCUUCGGGUUGUAAACCGCUUUCGCCUGUGACGAAGCGUGAGUGACGGUAAUGGGUAAAGAAGCACCGGCUAACUACGUG
Molecule: ribosomal RNA, 468 nt
Filed under: uncultured bacterium
Lineage: Bacteria
Description: partial 16S ribosomal RNA
Rfam family: Bacterial small subunit ribosomal RNA
Source: RNAcentral